UACGGGGGGAGCAAGCGUUGUUCGGAUUUACUGGGCGUAAAGGGCGCGUAGGCGGCCAGCACAAGUCAGUUGUGAAAUCUCCGAGCUUAACUCGGAAAGGUCAACUGAUACUGUGCGGCUAGAGUGCGGAAGGGGCUACUGGAAUUCUCGGUGUAGCGGUGAAAUGCGUAGAUAUCGAGAGGAACACCUGCGGCGAAGGCGGGUAGCUGGGCCGACACUGACGCUGAGGCGCGAAAGCCAGGGGAGCGAACGGG
Molecule: ribosomal RNA, 254 nt
Filed under: uncultured bacterium
Lineage: Bacteria
Description: partial 16S ribosomal RNA
Rfam family: Bacterial small subunit ribosomal RNA
Source: RNAcentral